RNAcentral lists this unclassified non-coding RNA (215 nucleotides) under Hevea brasiliensis (rubber tree). Lineage: Eukaryota; Viridiplantae; Streptophyta; Magnoliopsida; Malpighiales; Euphorbiaceae. The record is from RNAcentral.
GGGGUUGAAUAUCUUCACCAUCGGCCAUCUUUUACUGCUUCAAAACUUUCAACAAACUUCAAAACUUUCACAGGCAGAUCCAACUGCAGCUUAACAAAUCAAUGAUAGAGACGCCAAGAGAUUGAGAGAGUGAUUAAUUAGAUAUUAACAGAGAAAAGGGACCUUAAUUAGAAGAAGAAGAAGAAGAACAAGAGAGUAUAAGAGAGAAAGCACCG